AAGUCGUAACAAGGUUUCCGUAGGUGAACCUGCGGAAGGAUCAUUAUCAAAAGUCAAGUCGGGGGCUGUAAAGCUCUCGUCUACACCCCAUGUCUUUUGCGUACUCUUGUUUCCUCGGUGGCGCAAGCUGCCGAUUGGACAAACCAAAACCUUUUUUGUAAUAGCAGUCAGCGUCUGAUACUAAGUUAAUUAUUAAAACUUUCAACAAUGGAUCUCUUGGUUCUG
Molecule: unclassified non-coding RNA, 225 nt
Filed under: fungal sp.
Lineage: Eukaryota; Fungi
Description: partial internal transcribed spacer region
Rfam family: Eukaryotic small subunit ribosomal RNA (bases 1-46)
Source: RNAcentral